GCGAGGGUGGCGGAAUUGGCAGACGCGUACGGCUUAGGACCGUAUGCCGAAAGGCGUGUGGGUUCAAGUCCCUCUCCUCGCA
This 82-nucleotide transfer RNA is filed under the name Elusimicrobiota bacterium. RNAcentral's name for it is "Elusimicrobia bacterium (activated sludge metagenome) tRNA-Leu". It matches the Rfam family "tRNA". Rfam says of the family: Transfer RNA (tRNA) molecules are approximately 80 nucleotides in length. Their secondary structure includes four short double-helical elements and three loops (D, anti-codon, and T loops). The record is from RNAcentral. Lineage: Bacteria; Pseudomonadati; Elusimicrobiota.